CCUACGGGAGGCAGCAGUGGGGAAUUUUGGACAAUGGGCGCAAGCCUGAUCCAGCCAUACCGCGUGAGUGAAGAAGGCCUUCGGGUUGUAAAGCUCUUUCAGCCGGAAAGAAAACGUGCGGGUUAAUAACCCGUAUGGAUGACGGUACCGGAAGAAGAAGCACCGGCUAACUACGUG
RNAcentral lists this ribosomal RNA (177 nucleotides) under uncultured bacterium. Its description in RNAcentral is "partial 16S ribosomal RNA". It matches the Rfam family "Bacterial small subunit ribosomal RNA", at positions 338 to 507 of the family's 1533-position model. The record is from RNAcentral.